Long non-coding RNA from Panthera uncia (snow leopard), 1572 nucleotides. RefSeq lists it as uncharacterized. The record is from RefSeq and is a predicted model, not a curated record. The transcript has 4 exons. NCBI's taxonomy places the organism in Eukaryota, Metazoa, Chordata, Mammalia, Carnivora, Felidae.
GGGUCCUCAGCGCGGUUAGCUGGAGUCCGGUCCCGCCAAGCUUGUCCCGGGGCGCGAUCGUUCGGCGUUCUGUCACGGUCAGAUUGGAGGAAGUUAAGUCUGUGUGGGGUCUGUGCCUGACUUACAGGGCGCGUCAGCGGACUGAGGCCCUGACCCCUGCCGUCCGCGUGACCUUCCAGGCGCCCUGACCGAAACUUUUCAUAAGCUGACAGUUGUUUUUUAAAUCAUAGUUGGCAGGAUCAGUUUGGUGGGUCACGGACUAACAGUGUUUUUUGUUUGGUUUGGUUUGGUUUUUUUAAGCCUGUAGGGGCACCUGGCUGGCUCAGUAGGGGAGGAGCAUGGGACUUUUGAUACCAGGGUUGUGAGUUCAAGCCCCUCUUUGGGUGUGGAGAUUACUAAAAUAAAUAAACUUUAUUAAAAAAAAAAAAAAGAAGAAGAAGAAGAAACCUACAGUGUCUGCAGUUCAUUAGGGCAGAGUUCAUACCAGUUUUGUGCAGGGUCCACACAGCCAAACCCAAGGGGUAAGGGUGGGCUGUCCACUUACGGGCACCCGGAUUGGGGACGGCAGGCAAGAGGCACGGUGGGCUGAGCUGGGAACAGGAAGCAGGCACAACGGUGGAGAGCAGACAUUAAAAGAACCGCACACGUGGGGAUAAAGAUACAAGCUCUGGGAAGGGCCCACAGAAAGAAACAAGGGACCUCCUUUAGCCAGGGACGGGCCGAGCUGGAACAGUUCCACCGAGCUAGCAAGGCAGAGAAGGAUUUCACCUGCUCAGCGUCCUGGCCUCAAAACUGUACCUCUCUCCAGCUCCAUGUGAGGUGAGGCUGCCUCUUGGAGCACUUGGACCACACGGGUACCAAACAUGGACUUUCUCUGCACUUCUGGCCCCGUGGAUGGCCUGCGAGUGGCAUUUUCUGGGUACAACUGAGGCAUCCAGCUGGUGCUCCUUACAUGUUAGCAGAACACAUCCCACCCACUGUCCCUGAGGAGGCCAUCCAUUCCUUACCGAAGCAAUCCACUAUCCUACUGGCAGAGUUAUCAGCUCCAGGGAGCCAAGGUAAAUUGAGAGUGAAAUGUUUUUGGGAGAGCCCACAGAGACAUGUCACAGUUCUCUCCGUUUCUGGGCCUUCGAGUCAUGAGGAUCAGUCUCUGAUGUGGGACAGGGAUACAGCCACCCCUCCCAGGCAACUGGCAGCAAAACAUGAGAGGAGAACAGCAGAAAGGUGGAGCCAACCGUGGGAGAACCACACUUCUAGAGCCCCAAAAGGGCAAAAACAGUCACACAAGAACAGAAGAGCUCUUAAGAAUAGUGGGCUGGAUUCUAAAACUGGGACCCAAACACCUGGGGCAAAAUGAGAUUGUUGGGGCCUUGAAAAACCAUUUUCUCUGGCUGGUGGCAGAAGAACCAGAGAGCCUGGAGACGUGAGAAGGACUCAGCACGCAUUGCUGCUUUGAAGAUAGAGGGGCCCAGUGAGAAAGAAUGUGGGCAAAGAGCUAGAAGAGGCCCCUGCAGAAGAAGUGGAUUCUUCCCAGAUUCCCGAGGUAAGCACCCAGUCUGGCCAACACCUUGA